This 632-nucleotide small RNA is filed under the name Pan troglodytes (chimpanzee). RNAcentral's name for it is "processed transcript". The record is from RNAcentral. Lineage: Eukaryota; Metazoa; Chordata; Mammalia; Primates; Hominidae.
UGAGUAUGACAAAGCAAUGGCACCACAGCAGGGACUACUAGACAAAAUAAAAGAUGAACCUGACAAUGCUCAAGAGUAUAGUCAUGGCCAACAGCAAAAAACUCAAGAGGGGGAACUGAAAAUUAGUGCUGUGUUUUCAGUCAGUGGCAGCCCUCUUGCUCCACAGUUGACUACUGGCUUUCAGCCCUCACUGGCGUCAUCUGGCAUGAAUAAAAUGCUUCCUUCAGUUCCAGCCACAGCUGUUCGAGUUUCCUGUUCUGGUUGUAAAAAAAUCCUCCAGAAGGGGCAAACUGCUUAUCAGAGGAAAGGGUCUACUCAGCUAUUCUGCUCCACACUGUGCCUCACUGGAUAUACAGUUCCACCUGCCCGCCCACCGCCUCCUCUCACCAAGAAAACUUGUUCAAGUUGCUCAAAGUAUAGCAGAAUUCUAAAUUAUCUUUUUUGUUUCUUUCCUUUCUCUUAACAUACUUUGUUCUUAGCUCAUGUAUUACAUUUGAUAUUCUACAUUUAUUCCUUUUUUUUUUUUUUGAGAAAUACCACAUUAUUUUCUGUCUGCUUUCAGUUGUUGCUUUUCAGUCUUCCAGGUGCUAGGUGCUCAGCUUGUUUUUUAGCUUUCAAUAAUGUUACUUUUA